AGGUUGAUUUGACUUUUGUUAAGUUAAAAUCAUUGGAUUUAGGGGAUUGAUGAAAUGUACAUUUCAUCUCCCAAAAUGAAUGAAUGAUUUUAAUUUGAUAAAAUUCCUCCCAUGACCAAUUUGUGUUUUUCUCAUCUCCCCUCCCUUUUAAUCUUCAAUCCCAUUCUAUCUCAUCCCUUUCAUUGACCAAUGAAAUCCCAAAAUCCUAAGGCUAAUUGGUUCAUCAAUGACCUUAUGUUAGAUGAACCAAUACAAGUAUGGAUGAGAUAGGUCCAUCCCUUUUGUUCUUUUUCUUUUAGUGUGUUGUAUGUUUUAGGAGUUUAGUUCAUCUUACCAAAUCCCUAACAUGCGUUAGCACCUAAAUUUU
RNAcentral lists this long non-coding RNA (367 nucleotides) under Lathyrus oleraceus (garden pea). RNAcentral describes it as "Pisum sativum (pea) long non-coding RNA (PSAT_LNC030261)". Lineage: Eukaryota; Viridiplantae; Streptophyta; Magnoliopsida; Fabales; Fabaceae. The record is from RNAcentral.